UUUCCGUAGGUGAACCUGCGGAAGGAUCAUUAUUGAAUAACCGAGGUGCGAGGGCUGUCGCUGACCCGAACGCUCGUGCACGUCCCAGUGCCCUCACUCUCAUCCAUCUCACCCCUAUGUGCACCACUGCGUGGGUCCUCGUCUGCCUUUUUUGGAGAGGCGCUUACGUUAUCAAACAUACUUUGUAUGUAGUGUAGAAUGACUUUCUUGUUUUUGCGUCUACGCACUCACUACAACUUUCAACAACGGAGCUCUUGACUCUCCACUCGUUGAAGAAAG
RNAcentral lists this unclassified non-coding RNA (279 nucleotides) under plant metagenome. Its description in RNAcentral is "partial contains small subunit ribosomal RNA, internal transcribed spacer 1, and 5.8S ribosomal RNA". The record is from RNAcentral.